GCACGCCCUUUGAAAACCACAUGUGGGCCAAGGUGCACGGCAACGACCAGACUUACGCUUCGUAGGGCCCAGGGCCGAGGGCCUGCGCGCGAGAAGAGCCUAGUUA
RNAcentral lists this non-coding RNA (106 nucleotides) under uncultured eukaryote. The record is from RNAcentral.